GUCCAGGCACGCGCUGCGCACCAAUGGCCCGCCGAGGAGGGGGGACACAUGGGGAUUUCUGACAUAACUCCUCAAACCCUGACCUUGAGGGACACAAUAAAAGAAGCCCUCCAUCGACCCGGACUGUGCACUACGGCUAAGAAAACAUGGAGAGAAGCACUCGCUUUCCGUGAUCCGGAACGGGCAGCGUGUCCCGUUUGUAAGGAGGCUGGCCUGUGUCCUGCAAGAGCGCUCGGCUGGCGGCGCAAAAAGGGGGAAAACGGAUUUUUAUAAUAAAUUCACUUUUUUCCAGCACAUCAAACGAGGGGACAAUGGUGAAAAUUAGGGGAAAAGGCGCAACGUUCAUUGAAAAUUUGCGAGAAGGCCGAGGCGAAGAUGCGAUGGCGAGUCCAUAGGAGGUUAAAGAUACCGCAUCUCUUAUUUUACAUUUAUUUACAGGUGACAUUAUUAACUACAAAUAAACGAUUUCCAGUGGAUCAGAGAAUGACAUCCACAGAGAGACGUGUAACAGAAGAAUCGAUACAUGGACGAUGGCCAAUCAGCUCAGCAGUCCCAGUAUUGUCAUGGAAACCAAGACCGUACGUAGAGUAAGAUCACGUGGCUGUCACCAGCGUGGACCCUGAUUGCGCUGAACGGAAAUACGCAGUGUUGUUCAGGCCCCUUCCAGGAUUAUGGACCUUGACGCCAUUCCGUCCCCAAAAUUAUACACACUAGUCUCACCCGCCUGUGUGUUUAUAUGCACAUGUACACCAAUCUGUUAUAUCCUUUAAAAGGCCGCUAUUACACUAGUGAACUUCUAAGUGCAUGUGUAGGACAAAUUUGGGGAUAAUACAUGGUUCAGAGGAUUAGGACACUGCCCGUGAUUGGAAGGUCACUAGUUCCAAUCCCAGGGUGGGCAGAACGGGUUCAUCACAGGGUCCUUGAGCAAGGCCCUUAAUGCCGGAUUGUUCUAGGGAUCGGCUGACCCUGCUUUCUCAAAAAUCGCUUUGGAUAAAAGUGUCUGCUAAUUAAAUACAUUUAAAAAUACACCUUAGCAAAAAACAACAGUUUUAGAUCGGCUGGGGAAGGAGUUAUUUUAUUUUAGAUCUACGAUUAGAAGUGUAAGGUGUACUUGUACAUAGAUGUUGGAAGUUUACAUUUGUUCACGGACUGCCCGGGAUUAUUGUCACGCUGCUGCGCUGGCACGCUUCGGCCGAACGGAAGGGGACAUUAGCGGUGACUCACAUCACUCUUAAAGAGCGGGAUGCCAAGAAGUCUCCUCGGGCCAGCAGUACCCGACACGAGUGGCGAGCGCGUGUGUCUCGCGGGGAGGUAUGCCGUCAUCGUGUGCACGGCGUGUGUCCGCGCACGUGCGCGUGAUCCCAGCGGAAAGAUCCGGCUCGAGGUGCAGACGGUGUCUGGGGAGGCAGAUGGUGACAAGUGUCUCUUAAGAACGGCGACGCCGGCUGUUUGGCCGCUAUUAAAAAUAACCUACGGCUCAGCCCCAGCCUCUUUGUUUCAGGCGACUGCAUUUUACAUGACGACAUUGGCGAAAUAUCUGGCUGCGCAUCGCGGGGUCGCGUUUCACAAAGGGCUUCGGUUUUAAAUGGCAGGCAAACUCACCUUAUUUAGACUAACCAGCACAGAUCGCGGGUAGAGGCGCAGCACGCAAGCACCAGGCAGUCAGCAGCAAUCGAAAGCGUGACGGUGAUACACACCAAGCACAUCCCAGUGUGAGAAAUCGCCCUUCUAAACAAUGUCGAAAAACGGUUAUUUCGAUAACUUGCAACCUUCAGAUACUGCUGUGAAUCUUGCUUCCUGGAAUUUCACAAUGAACCAAAUAAAAGUGACCCUCACACUGAAA
Molecule: long non-coding RNA, 1843 nt
Organism: Brienomyrus brachyistius
Lineage: Eukaryota; Metazoa; Chordata; Actinopteri; Osteoglossiformes; Mormyridae
Exons: 5
Source: RefSeq, a predicted model, not a curated record